UUAUAAAUCAUAUUGUGGAUGUUCAUAACCGGCCCGGUUCAUAACCGGCCCAAUGCUAGAGAGAGAGAGUCGGUCGUGAGAAGAGAGUGAGAGAGAAUCGACCUCUUGCAUUUUCUUUAUUAGAUUAUGAUUUGUACUCUUUCCAUAUUUUGUAUUUUCUUUUUUUAGUAUUUCCAUUAUUCUAUGACGAUGUAAUUCUCUAUAUAUAAAGGGCUUCUUAUGUUUAUGAAUAUGACAGAAACAUAGAUUAUAUUCUCUAGUUUCACAACACGUUAUCAGCACGAUUACUCUAAACCCUAAGCUAAAGUUCGAACCCUAAAACCCUAACCUCACCCCGGCGAUAAAACCUAAACCCGACGACGAACCCUAAUCUGAUCGAGAACCUAAAACCCCAUACUCAAGGCGUUCCCGAUCUCAGCACGCGACCUCAGUCCGCUCCUCAGCUCGCGACUUCAGCCUGUUCGCGAGACACGAUCUCAGCCUG
This 484-nucleotide long non-coding RNA is filed under the name Brassica napus (rape). Its description in RNAcentral is "long non-coding RNA (BNAP_LNC015921)". The record is from RNAcentral. Lineage: Eukaryota; Viridiplantae; Streptophyta; Magnoliopsida; Brassicales; Brassicaceae.